Molecule: long non-coding RNA, 2415 nt
Organism: Mya arenaria
Lineage: Eukaryota; Metazoa; Mollusca; Bivalvia; Myida; Myidae
Exons: 4
Source: RefSeq, a predicted model, not a curated record
AUUACGAAAAUUUGAUACUUUAUACACAUGUUUAAACAAUAAAAUGUGUGUUUCUCUUACUAUGUUUAUAUUUAAUUAAAUUCUUUAGAAGUAUGCUGCAAGAGUAAAGCAUAUAUACUACAAGUAAAUGAAUAUUUGUUCAUUUGUUUUCAUUGUUCGAAUAUUUGUUCAUAGAUAGAUUGGUUUUGAAGACACCAAUACUAACAUAUCUAACCAUAAUGGUAUUUGACAAUAAUGCAUUUUAAGUUAUUGUCGCUUAUUCAUAAUCAAAAACCAUGAAUAUCUUUUAAUUAUUGCUAUAAAUAAUUGGCAAAUAAUUUAAUAAUGACAAGUAUAAAGUAAAAAUGGACAAAAGUGCAAUAGUUUUCGGAAUAUGAAAUGGACGAAGUCUAUAUUCGGUUAUGGAGGUAUUAGUUAAAAAGAAAGUCCUGUUUGUUCACUUACAUUCACUGAAAGGUCAAGACUAAAUAUUAAAACGUGUGUAACCAGUUAAUUUGUCAUAAAUAGUUUGCAAACCGACAUACACGCCUACUAAACGCAAGCUCGAACGUCUUCAUAUUAUCGGUGGUGCAAAUUAAAUGAGCUGGAAAUACUCCCACGGUGCAGCUCUGGCUUUUGUGUUUUGUACACACUGAGAUAUAAAGCCAUAUCAUACAUUCAUGUCAUUCAAAUUCAGCCACUCAGAGAGAUGGAAAGGAUUGCAAAGCUGAGUUUUACUUUCAGUUUUACUCUCACCUGACUUAUGCAGAUACAGUAACCUACUUGUUCAAGAAAAAAGGCCAAAAAAUUCCAACAUGGAGCCUUACUAAAUCAACUUGGUGUAAUUUGACAAUUAAAAUUCUUCAGAAUUCGACGGUGGUUGUACCAUGCAGCAGUCAUACUACGAAGUGUCUCAGAGAUUUCUUUUUCUAAAUUCUGCAAUAUUGAGGUACAGUUUAGCGCAAAGAGGAUUAAUCUUCUGACAGUUAGAAGUAAAUGUUCUUUUAAAUUAACAUUAACCGUUCCUGCAUUUUGAUUGAUUAUAGAGUGAAUAUGUUUCCAUAUUAAAUGUUGUCUUUUAUGUGUAAAAUUUCACAUGCUAUAAAUGGUUACAAAUACAUGAACGCACAUUUUGUUUCUUAAUAUAUGCACGUUUUGAUUCCAAUAAUUAAACACUCAAGCGUAUUAAAUUUGUUUCCUGUUGUUUGUUUCUAAACAAUUAGUAGUAUGUAUUCGUGUUGAUAGUUACCAUGUCAAUUCAGAAAAUGAGUAAAUUUUUAAACAGUUACCAUGGUAGCCAGAGUCUAGUGUUCUAGGGAAACUGUCAAUGUUGUCUUAAAUUUAUUUACCCUUAAAAUUUGAUGACAAUGUCAUUCUUAUAUUUAAUUGUUAAGAAUUGCUUAGUGGUUUUUAACAAUUGUCAGGAAAAUCAAUCCAAGAUAUACUUACAGAAUUUUCCUGUUUAACAUAAAAUGAUGUUUCUUAGCAUUUUUUAUUUUUAUUGAAUGGUUACCAUAGCAACUAAUUUUUUGUUUGCCUUAAACCUUCCUAUUUAUAAUACUAUUCAUUGUGAAAAUGCAAAUGUUCAUCAGUGAAUGUAAGAAAAUAAAUGUUCUGUAACUUUUACUUUAUUGUUAGCUCAUGCUUCAAAAUAUGCGGCAUAUUUAAAAUUUCCUAAAAAUAACAAAAAUAAUUAUCGUGAAAUAUUCUGCUUAAAACAUUAUUUUAACUCUGAUUUUUAGAAAUUUGUAUUAAAUUUAUAGAAAAUAAAGAAAACAUUUUGUUUACAUUUCUUAUUUCAUUUAAAUUCAGAGGUUGUGAAUUUGACCUAUUUGGCAGAAAAAAAAAAUAAAAAUGUAAAAUUAAAAUAGCCAUAAUUCUGUCAAACUAUGAUGGAUUUUUAAAAGAUAUGCAUAUUUGAGUUUGUAAUGACCAAACCUUUAAAAUGGUAUAUCACUUGACUAUACCACAUGAAAUUAUUUAUUUACGUUGUUAUUGCUAUCAAUAGUUUAUAUAGUGAAUAAUAUUUGAUAUUGUUUUCCUGUACGUUGAAUUAACAAUGAAUAAUGUUUUUAUUGCAACAACCAGAUUACUUAUUGCAAUGAGUUAUUUGUGACUGUCUAUAUGUGCAUUAAUAUAACCAUUUUUAAGAAUCUAUUAAAUCAAUUACAUAAUGGUUGAACUUUCGGACAGCCUUAAAACAAAUGCCUAUUUGUAACAAUAAUACUUUAAUAAAGUCCUAUAGACUUUCGAACGUCAGUUUAUAUACAUAUUUUCCAUAUCAUUUGAUUUUCAUGGGUUUGUAGUCACUGUAAGGAUUUUUCAGAACAACUUGCAACAAAUUGCGCUUCAACCAAAACAAAAUGAUGAAAAUAAUAACUAAAUUGCAAAGCGGAAAACGUGAAAAAAAUAUAUAUAAUAAAGUCAGAAAAAAUC